GGGCUGUUUUCAUGAAGGGCCUCCCUAAUAGAAUCGGCAAUGGGGUGGAAUGGGGUGAAUCCUCCAUGUCAAGCACGUAGAAAUCCGCUGGAAAAAUCAAGUUACCAACCUGCACCAAAACAUCUUCCAAAAACCCUUUGGAUAUGCAUUAGAACGAUCGGCUAAUUGAAUUAUCACACCAUCAUUUUUAAGCUCACCUAAGUUCAUAGAUGCAUAAAUCGAGUAUGGCAUAACAUUAAUCGAAGCCCCUAAGUCUAACAUGCAUUGUUCAACUUAGUAUUACAAGAACGCACGGAAUUGUAAAACUACCCGGAUCUUUGCAUUUAGGGGGUAAUUUCCUUUGUAACACAGCAGAGACGUUUUCACUUACCUGGACACCUCUUUGUUCGAAAUCCUUCUCCUUGUUGUACAAAGUUCUUUUAAGAACUUAGCAUACCUCGGGACUUGCUUAAUCGCAUCAAGGAGCGGGAUAUUGACUUGAACUUUCCGAAAGGUCUCUAGAAUAUCCUUCUCGGCUUCUUCCUUCUUUGAUUGCCUAAACCUGCCAGGAAAGGGCACAUUUAGUGGAAUAGAACUAGAAAAAGUCGAAUUGGGACUUACCUUGGUGGUUGGGCGAUUUAGGAGGUUAAAGGGUGGCGGCAAUGAUUGGUCAUCCUUGGCCGUGGGUUUUGCUCUUUGUACCUCCUCUUGCAUCAACUUGUCCUCCUCGUCUU
Molecule: long non-coding RNA, 713 nt
Filed under: Malus domestica (apple)
Lineage: Eukaryota; Viridiplantae; Streptophyta; Magnoliopsida; Rosales; Rosaceae
Description: long non-coding RNA (MDOM_LNC019685)
Source: RNAcentral